CCUACGGGGGGCAGCAGUGGGGAAUAUUGCGCAAUGGGCGAAAGCCUGACGCAGCGACGCCGCGUGAGGGAUGAAGGUCUUCGGAUCGUAAACCUCUGUCAGCAGGGAAGAAAGGUCACUGUGCUAAUCAGCAGUGAAUUGACGGUACCUGCAAAGGAAGCACCGGCUAACUCCGUGCGAGCAGCCGCGGGAAUACGGAGGGGGGGAGCGUGAAUCGGAAGUACUGGGCGUAAAGCGCUCGUAGGCGGUAUGUCAAGGCAAGCGUGAAAUCCCCGCUGUCAACGUGGUAACUGCCUUUGAAACUGGCAUCCUUGAGUGUGUGAGAGGCUAGUGGAAUUCCAGGUGUAGCAGU
This 352-nucleotide ribosomal RNA is filed under the name uncultured bacterium. Its description in RNAcentral is "partial 16S ribosomal RNA". It matches the Rfam family "Bacterial small subunit ribosomal RNA", at positions 338 to 682 of the family's 1533-position model. The record is from RNAcentral.